UACGUAGGGUCCGAGCGUUGUCCGGAAUUACUGGGCGUAAAGAGCUCGUAGGCGGUUUGUCGCGUCUGCUGUGAAAACCUAAGGCUCAACCUUGGGCUUGCAGUGGGUACGGGCAGACUAGAGUGCGGUAGGGGUGACUGGAAUUCCUGGUGUAGCGGUGAAAUGCGCAGAUAUCAGGAGGAACACCGAUGGCGAAGGCAGGUCUCUGGGCCACUACUGACGCUGAGAAGCGAAAGCAUGGGGAGCGAACAGG
Molecule: ribosomal RNA, 253 nt
Filed under: uncultured bacterium
Lineage: Bacteria
Description: partial 16S ribosomal RNA
Rfam family: Bacterial small subunit ribosomal RNA
Source: RNAcentral